This 2927-nucleotide ribosomal RNA is filed under the name Escherichia coli. Its description in RNAcentral is "23S ribosomal RNA". It matches the Rfam family "Bacterial large subunit ribosomal RNA". Lineage: Bacteria; Pseudomonadati; Pseudomonadota; Gammaproteobacteria; Enterobacterales; Enterobacteriaceae. The record is from RNAcentral.
GGGUUGUGAGGUUAAGCGACUAAGCGUACACGGUGGAUGCCCUGGCAGUCAGAGGCGAUGAAGGACGUGCUAAUCUGCGAUAAGCGUCGGUAAGGUGAUAUGAACCGUUAUAACCGGCGAUUUCCGAAUGGGGAAACCCAGUGUGAUUCGUCACACUAUCAUUAACUGAAUCCAUAGGUUAAUGAGGCGAACCGGGGGAACUGAAACAUCUAAGUACCCCGAGGAAAAGAAAUCAACCGAGAUUCCCCCAGUAGCGGCGAGCGAACGGGGAGCAGCCCAGAGCCUGAAUCAGUGUGUGUGUUAGUGGAAGCGUCUGGAAAGGCGCGCGAUACAGGGUGACAGCCCCGUACACAAAAAUGCACAUGCUGUGAGCUCGAUGAGUAGGGCGGGACACGUGGUAUCCUGUCUGAAUAUGGGGGGACCAUCCUCCAAGGCUAAAUACUCCUGACUGACCGAUAGUGAACCAGUACCGUGAGGGAAAGGCGAAAAGAACCCCGGCGAGGGGAGUGAAAAAGAACCUGAAACCGUGUACGUACAAGCAGUGGGAGCACAGAGCAAUCUGUGUGACUGCGUACCUUUUGUAUAAUGGGUCAGCGACUUAUAUUCUGUAGCAAGGUUAACCGAAUAGGGGAGCCGAAGGGAAACCGAGUCUUAACUGGGCGUUAAGUUGCAGGGUAUAGACCCGAAACCCGGUGAUCUAGCCAUGGGCAGGUUGAAGGUUGGGUAACACUAACUGGAGGACCGAACCGACUAAUGUUGAAAAAUUAGCGGAUGACUUGUGGCUGGGGGUGAAAGGCCAAUCAAACCGGGAGAUAGCUGGUUCUCCCCGAAAGCUAUUUAGGUAGCGCCUCGUGAAUUCAUCUCCGGGGGUAGAGCACUGUUUCGGCAAGGGGGUCAUCCCGACUUACCAACCCGAUGCAAACUGCGAAUACCGGAGAAUGUUAUCACGGGAGACACACGGCGGGUGCUAACGUCCGUCGUGAAGAGGGAAACAACCCAGACCGCCAGCUAAGGUCCCAAAGUCAUGGUUAAGUGGGAAACGAUGUGGGAAGGCCCAGACAGCCAGGAUGUUGGCUUAGAAGCAGCCAUCAUUUAAAGAAAGCGUAAUAGCUCACUGGUCGAGUCGGCCUGCGCGGAAGAUGUAACGGGGCUAAACCAUGCACCGAAGCUGCGGCAGCGACGCUGAUGCGUUGUUGGGUAGGGGAGCGUUCUGUAAGCCUGCGAAGGUGUGCUGUGAGGCAUGCUGGAGGUAUCAGAAGUGCGAAUGCUGACAUAAGUAACGAUAAAGCGGGUGAAAAGCCCGCUCGCCGGAAGACCAAGGGUUCCUGUCCAACGUUAAUCGGGGCAGGGUGAGUCGACCCCUAAGGCGAGGCCGAAAGGCGUAGUCGAUGGGAAACAGGUUAAUAUUCCUGUACUUGGUGUUACUGCGAAGGGGGGACGGAGAAGGCUAUGUUGGCCGGGCGACGGUUGUCCCGGUUUAAGCGUGUAGGCUGGUUUUCCAGGCAAAUCCGGAAAAUCAAGGCUGAGGCGUGAUGACGAGGCACUACGGUGCUGAAGCAACAAAUGCCCUGCUUCCAGGAAAAGCCUCUAAGCAUCAGGUAACAUCAAAUCGUACCCCAAACCGACACAGGUGGUCAGGUAGAGAAUACCAAGGCGCUUGAGAGAACUCGGGUGAAGGAACUAGGCAAAAUGGUGCCGUAACUUCGGGAGAAGGCACGCUGAUAUGUAGGUGAAGUCCCUCGCGGAUGGAGCUGAAAUCAGUCGAAGAUACCAGCUGGCUGCAACUGUUUAUUAAAAACACAGCACUGUGCAAACACGAAAGUGGACGUAUACGGUGUGACGCCUGCCCGGUGCCGGAAGGUUAAUUGAUGGGGUCAGCGCAAGCGAAGCUCUUGAUCGAAGCCCCGGUAAACGGCGGCCGUAACUAUAACGGUCCUAAGGUAGCGAAAUUCCUUGUCGGGUAAGUUCCGACCUGCACGAAUGGCGUAAUGAUGGCCAGGCUGUCUCCACCCGAGACUCAGUGAAAUUGAACUCGCUGUGAAGAUGCAGUGUACCCGCGGCAAGACGGAAAGACCCCGUGAACCUUUACUAUAGCUUGACACUGAACAUUGAGCCUUGAUGUGUAGGAUAGGUGGGAGGCUUUGAAGUGUGGACGCCAGUCUGCAUGGAGCCGACCUUGAAAUACCACCCUUUAAUGUUUGAUGUUCUAACGUUGACCCGUGAUCCGGGUUGCGGACAGUGUCUGGUGGGUAGUUUGACUGGGGCGGUCUCCUCCUAAAGAGUAACGGAGGAGCACGAAGGUUGGCUAAUCCUGGUCGGACAUCAGGAGGUUAGUGCAAUGGCAUAAGCCAGCUUGACUGCGAGCGUGACGGCGCGAGCAGGUGCGAAAGCAGGUCAUAGUGAUCCGGUGGUUCUGAAUGGAAGGGCCAUCGCUCAACGGAUAAAAGGUACUCCGGGGAUAACAGGCUGAUACCGCCCAAGAGUUCAUAUCGACGGCGGUGUUUGGCACCUCGAUGUCGGCUCAUCACAUCCUGGGGCUGAAGUAGGUCCCAAGGGUAUGGCUGUUCGCCAUUUAAAGUGGUACGCGAGCUGGGUUUAGAACGUCGUGAGACAGUUCGGUCCCUAUCUGCCGUGGGCGCUGGAGAACUGAGGGGGGCUGCUCCUAGUACGAGAGGACCGGAGUGGACGCAUCACUGGUGUUCGGGUUGUCAUGCCAAUGGCACUGCCCGGUAGCUAAAUGCGGAAGAGAUAAGUGCUGAAAGCAUCUAAGCACGAAACUUGCCCCGAGAUGAGUUCUCCCUGACUCCUUGAGAGUCCUGAAGGAACGUUGAAGACGACGACGUUGAUAGGCCGGGUGUGUAAGCGCAGCGAUGCGUUGAGCUAACCGGUACUAAUGAACCGUGAGGCUUAACCUUACAACGCCGAAG